RNAcentral lists this ribosomal RNA (1364 nucleotides) under uncultured bacterium. RNAcentral describes it as "bacterial SSU rRNA". It matches the Rfam family "Bacterial small subunit ribosomal RNA", at positions 10 to 1367 of the family's 1533-position model. The record is from RNAcentral.
AGUUUGAUCUUUGGUCAGGAUGAACGCUAGCUACAGGCCUAACACAUGCUUUUCGAGGGGAAACGGCAGCUUAGCUUGCUAAGCUGGACGUCGACCUGCGCACGGGUGAGUAACGCGUAUCCAACCUGCCCCACGGUGAGGGAUAACCCGCGGAAACGCGGCCUAAUACCCCAUGGUCUCCGAGCUUGACAUCAACCUUGGAGUAAAGAUUCAUUGCCGUGGGAUGGGGAUGCGUCUGAUUAGCUUGUUGGCGGGGCAACGGCCCACCAAGGCAACGAUCAGUAGGGGUUCUGAGAGGAAAGCCCCCCACAUUGGAACUGAGACACGGUCCAAACUCCUACGGGAGGCAGCAGUGAGGAAUAUUGGUCAAUGGGCGAGAGCCUGAACCAGCCAAGUAGCGUGCAGGAAGACGGCCCUAUGGGUUGUAAACUGCUUUUAUGCGGGGAUAAAAUGGGUGACGUGUCGCCCUUUGCAGGUACCGCAUGAAUAAGGACCGGCUAAUUCCGUGCCAGCAGCCGCGGUAAUACGGAAGGUCCGGGCGUUAUCCGGAUUUAUUGGGUUUAAAGGGAGCGCAGGCCGGGUAUUAAGCGUGUUGUGAAAUGUAGGCGCCCAACGUCUGCACCGCAGCGCGAACUGGUGCCCUUGAGUACGCACGACGUUGGCGGAAUUCGCCGUGUAGCGGUGAAAUGCUUAGAUAUGGCGAAGAACUCCGAUUGCGAAGGCAGCUGACGGGAGCGCUACUGACGCUCAUGCUCGAAAGCGCGGGUAUCGAACAGGAUUAGAUACCCUGGUAGUCCGCGCGGUAAACGAUGGAUGCCCGCUAUUUGCGCAUUAGCGCAAGUGGCCAAGUGAAAACGUUAAGCAUCCCACCUGGGGAGUACGCCGGCAACGGUGAAACUCAAAGGAAUUGACGGGGGCCCGCACAAGCGGAGGAACAUGUGGUUUAAUUCGAUGAUACGCGAGGAACCUUACCCGGGCUUGAAUUGCAGAGGAAAGAUCCAGAGAUGGUGAUGCCCUUCGGGGCCUCUGUGAAGGUGCUGCAUGGUUGUCGUCAGCUCGUGCCGUGAGGUGUCGGCUUAAGUGCCAUAACGAGCGCAACCCCUCUCCAUAGUUGCCAUCAGGUAAUGCUGGGCACUCUGUGGACACUGCCACCGUAAGGUGCGAGGAAGGUGGGGAUGACGUCAAAUCAGCACGGCCCUUACGUCCGGGGCUACACACGUGUUACAAUGGGGGGUACAGAGAGUCGGGACAACGCGAGUUGCCCCCAAUCAUCAAAGCCCCCCUCAGUUCGGACUGGGGUCUGCAACCCGACCCCACGAAGCUGGAUUCGAUAGUAAUCGCGCAUCAGCCAUGGCGCGGUGAAU